CGUCAAAACGUGAUGGGAAGCCGAUUGCAGCUCAGUGUCGUCACGUCGCGCUUCACCGGAAUCCCUAAAAAAAUGUAAAUAUUUACGUCGUCAUGAAGCGCAAUACGAGCAAAUUAAUACUGGCAGCAACUACGGCCAAACCAAAUAGGAUAAAGAUCAAACUCAAAAUCACAUAUCCAGGUUUAUUGGAAAGCGCUUGAUCAUUCUGCAAAGUAAUUUGUCUAUAAAUCUUACUGCUUCUCUCGCUGACGAUCAAUCAAACGUUAUUUACCUGAAGAGCGACAUAGUCACCAAAACCUAUAGUUCUUCGGUUCUUUGACAUCUGAGAUACGUCUUUGCUCGUCUAAUCACAACUGAUGCAAACUUGUUCAAUCGUUCACCAA
Molecule: long non-coding RNA, 383 nt
Organism: Mycetomoellerius zeteki
Lineage: Eukaryota; Metazoa; Arthropoda; Insecta; Hymenoptera; Formicidae
Exons: 3
Source: RefSeq, a predicted model, not a curated record